AACGGUCUAUACCUGCGGUACCUGCGGAAGGAUCAUUACCGAGUGAGGGCCCUCUGGGUCCAACCUCCCACCCGUGUUUAUCGUACCUUGUUGCUUCGGCGGGCCCGCCUCACGGCCGCCGGGGGGCACCUGCCCCCGGGCCCGCGCCCGCCGAAGACAUCAUUGAACUCUGUCUGAAGAUUGCAGUCUGAGUAGAUUAGCUAAAUCAGUUAAAACUUUCAGCAACGGAUCUCUAGAUCG
RNAcentral lists this unclassified non-coding RNA (240 nucleotides) under soil metagenome. Its description in RNAcentral is "partial contains 5.8S ribosomal RNA, internal transcribed spacer 2, and large subunit ribosomal RNA". The record is from RNAcentral.